Long non-coding RNA from Lineus longissimus, 371 nucleotides. RefSeq lists it as uncharacterized. NCBI's taxonomy places the organism in Eukaryota, Metazoa, Nemertea, Pilidiophora, Heteronemertea, Lineidae. The transcript has 3 exons. The record is from RefSeq and is a predicted model, not a curated record.
CUGUGUUAGCAUUGCCAGCUUGAACGGCCCAAAAAUAGAUGUGGAAGGUUGCAAAGCAUGUAGAUGCAGGGCGAAUUCUCAGAAAACCAAGGGGAAGUAUGUCAGAGGGAACAAAGGAGGAAAUGUUGCGGAGGAGGAUGUCUACCUAUGUUUACCUGACUGCGCGAAUACAACCACCACCUCAGUGACACCAUCCAUCACGGCAACUGUUACCACAACUGGAACACCAUCUGUUACUCCAUCAGGAACACCAUCAGUAACUCAAACACCUUCCGCUACUCCAUCAGUAACAGCAUCCGGAACACCCUCGGUUACCUCAACUGGGACGCCAUCUCUGACACCAUCAGGAACACCAUCCACGACUCCAUCAG